CCUCUGAAAAUGCUGGGAUUACAGGUGUGAGCUACGACGCCCGGUCGAAUAUUUUCAAUUUUCAAUAGUUUGUUGCUAGUGUGCGGAAAUACAAUUUAUCUUUGUAUAACGACCUUGUGUCUUGUGGCCUCACUAAACGCAUUUAUUAGCUCUACUAACUUUCUUGUAGACUAUUUGGGAUUUUCUAAGUCAACGGUCAUGCUGUCCAUGAACGGAAUCACUUUUCUUUCUUCCUUUCUAAUGUCUACGUCUUUUAUUUCCUAGACAUGCUGCGCUGAUGACGACGUCGAAUGGAUUGUUAAACAGACGUGGCAGAGGCACACAUCCCCGCCUUCUUUCAGUCUUGGAGGAGAGCAUUCCGUUUUUCCCAAGGUCUGCUGGUGAACCUAUCAAGAGAACCCAGUGUCUCAUCUUCCUGCCUCAGUGGAACAAGGUUCCUCCUCUGCUGACCACAGGCACCUCCUUUCCUUGGACAGCCUCCCCUCCACCUGCCAGGUCAUAACUGGGUGUCACGAAAACC
Cercocebus atys (sooty mangabey) is the source of this 520-nucleotide long non-coding RNA. RefSeq lists it as uncharacterized. The record is from RefSeq and is a predicted model, not a curated record. The transcript has 2 exons. NCBI's taxonomy places the organism in Eukaryota, Metazoa, Chordata, Mammalia, Primates, Cercopithecidae.